Molecule: ribosomal RNA, 1355 nt
Filed under: uncultured bacterium
Lineage: Bacteria
Description: bacterial SSU rRNA
Rfam family: Bacterial small subunit ribosomal RNA
Source: RNAcentral
AUUGAACGCUGGCGGCAGGCUUAACACAUGCAAGUCGAACGAUGACUAACUAGCUUGCUAGUUAUGAUUAGUGGCGGACGGGUGAGUAACAUUUAGGAAUCUGCCUAGUAGUGGGGGAUAGCUCGGGGAAACUCGAAUUAAUACCGCAUACGACCUACGGGUGAAAGGGAGCGCAAGCUCUUGCUAUUAGAUGAGCCUAAAUCAGAUUAGCUAGUUGGUGGGGUAAAGGCCUACCAAGGCGACGAUCUGUAACUGGUCUGAGAGGAUGAUCAGUCACACCGGAACUGAGACACGGUCCGGACUCCUACGGGAGGCAGCAGUGGGGAAUAUUGGACAAUGGGGGCAACCCUGAUCCAGCCAUGCCGCGUGUGUGAAGAAGGCCUUUUGGUUGUAAAGCACUUUAAGCAGGGAGGAGAGGCUAAUGGUUAAUACCCAUUAGAUUAGGCGUUACCUGCAGAAUAAGCACCGGCUAACUCUGUGCCAGCAGCCGCGGUAAUACAGAGGGUGCGGGCGUUAAUCGGAAUUACUGGGCGUAAAGCGAGUGUAGGUGGCUCAUUAAGUCACAUGUGAAAUCCCCGGGCUUAACCUGGGAACUGCAUGUGAUACUGGUGGUGCUAGAAUAUGUGAGAGGGAAGUAGAAUUCCAGGUGUAGCGGUGAAAUGCGUAGAGAUCUGGAGGAAUACCGAUGGCGAAGGCAGCUUCCUGGCACAAUAUUGACACUGAGAUUCGAAAGCGUGGGUAGCAAACAGGAUUAGAUACCCUGGUAGUCCACGCCGUAAACGAUGUCUACUAGCCGUUGGGGUCCUUGAGACUUUAGUGGCGCAGUUAACGCGAUAAGUAGACCGCCUGGGGAGUACGGCCGCAAGGUUAAAACUCAAAUGAAUUGACGGGGGCCCGCACAAGCGGUGGAGCAUGUGGUUUAAUUCGAUGCAACGCGAAGAACCUUACCUGGUCUUGACAUAGUGAGAAUCCUGUAGAGAUGCGGGAGUGCCUUCGGGAAUUCACAUACAGGUGCUGCAUGGCUGUCGUCAGCUCGUGUCGUGAGAUGUUGGGUUAAGUCCCGCAACGAGCGCAACCCUUUUCCUUAUUUGCCAGCGGGUUAAGCCGGGAACUUUAAGGAUACUGCCAGUGACAAACUGGAGGAAGGCGGGGACGACGUCAAGUCAUCAUGGCCCUUACGACCAGGGCUACACACGUGCUACAAUGGUAGGUACAGAGGGUUGCUACACAGCGAUGUGAUGCUAAUCUCAAAAAGCCUAUCGUAGUCCGGAUUGGAGUCUGCAACUCGACUCCAUGAAGUCGGAAUCGCUAGUAAUCGCAGAUCAGAAUGCUGCGGUGAAUACGUUCCCGGGCCU